AGAUGGAGGUAGAACGUCUCCGCUCCCUUUUUUCCCCCCUUUCCCUUGCGCAAAAUGGCGGCGGCCAGUUGGAAACCGGAAGUUCCAGAGAGGCGCGCUUUGCCACGCUACUCGUAGACUUCCGCCCUCGAGGACAACGCAGUGGCGCGAGUCGGGGAAAGCAACUGCCCGGUUACGUCACGCGGCGCCUAGUCGGAAGUGAGAUGAUUGCUCCCCGCAGGUCCCGAACCAGUGGAUGACAAGAAAGGAGAUUCUGGCUAAACAUCAAGAAUAACUUUCUGAAGAUGGAGCAGGCAGAAAUGUUUCUGAGGAGGAGUGGUAAGGAAAGAAGCCGUCCGUCCAGUUCAUAACCUGCAACUUGAGUCCCACCCUUUCAGCAAUGUCUCUCUUCCAGACCUGUCUCAGAAUUGAACGUUUGUGUGUGUGAUACAAAAGAUGCAAGCCCAGUCUUGCCUUCUGUGGAAACUUGGAAGGGAUUUGACACUUGUUUCGGCAACAGUAAAUAUGAAAGCUAUGUCAAUAUACUAAAUCUCCCAUUUGUUGCCAGGUAUUUACUUCUGGCAAAGAGAAUCAAAGUAACACCUCAUUCCACGUUAGGGCUUGCACAGAGGGUGUGAUGUAUAACAAAACCCUUUAUUUAAUAGGCAUAAGAUCACAAUGGAUGGUUGUGAUGAUGUUCUGGUGCUACAGACAUGGUGCUCUGCGUUUAGAGUCAACAGCAAGGAGCAUGCAACUGAGAUUCAAAUUGGAGAAUGUGUGAACCCAAGGCCCUUCUUCCUCGGAUUCUAAUGCAGUAGAUUUUGGGUUUUUUUCUAAAUAAUACGAU
Long non-coding RNA from Lacerta agilis (Sand lizard), 826 nucleotides. RefSeq lists it as uncharacterized. NCBI's taxonomy places the organism in Eukaryota, Metazoa, Chordata, Lepidosauria, Squamata, Lacertidae. The record is from RefSeq and is a predicted model, not a curated record. The transcript is spliced from 3 exons.